GGAAAAACAAACACUUUGGGCAUGGUCUCAAGUGGAAUAUUGGCCAUAUUCGUUCUACUAUUUCGUUGUGUACAGAGACCUGAUUUAAACAUUGAGAGAAGGGACAUCAAACGGGAUGGGAAGCACAGAGGAAUUGCAGAAGGUGAAGAGGAAUAAACUGCAUUUUACUGCAAAGUUGGAAGACGUUGCUGACAUCAGGCACUGGGGAGCACCGCUUGCAUUUCCAGCAGGGAUCCUUUUGACUGACAGAGUUUUAUUUGUGUGAGCAGCUACCUCGCUGAAAUUUUCCUCCCUGUACAAAGGAAAGAGACUCCAGGCAGCCAGCUGGUGGAAGGACACGCCUGUCCUCAUUCCCCUUCUCAUGCAUGAAUGCACUGGCUGAUUUCAAGUGAAUUUGACAGGAAGCAGUGCUUUCCUUCUCACCCGAGCCC
This 431-nucleotide long non-coding RNA is filed under the name Gallus gallus (chicken). The record is from RNAcentral. Lineage: Eukaryota; Metazoa; Chordata; Aves; Galliformes; Phasianidae.